RNAcentral lists this ribosomal RNA (558 nucleotides) under Micropogonias undulatus (Atlantic croaker). RNAcentral describes it as "partial 16S ribosomal RNA". It matches the Rfam family "Bacterial large subunit ribosomal RNA", at positions 1840 to 2597 of the family's 2925-position model. Lineage: Eukaryota; Metazoa; Chordata; Actinopteri; Sciaenidae. The record is from RNAcentral.
UACGAUAGAGGUCCUGCCUGCCCUGUGACCAUGUGUUCAACGGCCGCGGUAUUUUGACCGUGCAAAGGUAGCGUAAUCACUUGUCUUUUAAAUGAAGACCCGUAUGAAUGGCAAGACGAGGGCUUAGCUGUCUCCUUUUUCAAGUCAAUGAAAUUGAUCUUCCCGUGCAGAAGCGGGAAUUACUUCAUAAGACGAGAAGACCCUAUGGAGCUUUAGACACCAAGACAGCCCACGUCAAAACUCCCUAAUGAAGGACUGAACUAAGUGGACCCUGUCCUAAUGUCUUUGGUUGGGGCGACCACGGGGAAAUACAAAACCCCCGCGUGGACUGGGAGCACCUCUACUCCUACAACUAAGAGCACCCGCUCUAACAAACAGAAUUUCUGACCAACAAGAUCCGGCAACGCCGAUCAACGAACCCAGUUACCCUAGGGAUAACAGCGCAAUCCUCUUUUAGAGCCCAUAUCGACAAGAGGGUUUACGACCUCGAUGUUGGAUCAGGACAUCCUAAUGGUGCAGCCGCUAUUAAGGGUUCGUUUGUUCAACGAUUAAAGUCCU